This 792-nucleotide long non-coding RNA is filed under the name Salmo salar (Atlantic salmon). RNAcentral's name for it is "lncRNA (ENSSSAG00000089857.1)". Lineage: Eukaryota; Metazoa; Chordata; Actinopteri; Salmoniformes; Salmonidae. The record is from RNAcentral.
GGAUAUCAAAGUGAAACAGUUCUCUAAAGACACAGGAGACAAUAAUACAAGAAACAACACUUCUGUAGCUUGUCAACUAUGUGUCUGUCUAUCCCUGUUCUCUCCUCUCUGCACAGGCCAUACAAACGCUUCACACCGCGUGGCCGCUGCCACUCUAACCUGGUGGUCCCAGCGCGCACGACCCACGUGGAGUUCCAGGUCUCCGGCAGCCUCUGGAACUGCCGGUCUGCGGCCAACAAGGCAGAUUUCAUCUCAGCCUAUGCUACCCUCCAGUCCUUCGACUUCUUGGCGCUGACGGAAACAUGGAUUACCACAGAAAACACUGCUACUCCUACUGCUCUCUCCUCGUCUGACCACAUGUUCUCGCAUACUCCGAGAGCAUCUGGUCAGCGGGGUGGUGGCACUGGAAUCCUCAUCUCUCCCAAGUGGACAUUCUCUCUUUCUCCCCUGACCCAUCUGUCUAUCUCCUCCUUUGAAUUCCAUGCUGUCACAGUCACUAGCCCAUUCAAGCUUAACAUCCUUAUCAUUUAUCGCCCUCCAGGUUCCCUUGGAGAGUUCAUCAAUGAGCUUGACGCCUUGAUAAGUUCCUUUCCUGAGGAUGGCUCACCCCUCACAAUUCUGGACCAUUUCCGGAGACCUUCUCCCCUACCUCACCUCGCUCAUCAACUCAUCCUUGACCGCUGGCAACGUCCCUUCCGUCUUCAAGAGAGCGAGAGUUGCACCCCUUCUCAAAAAACCUACACUCGAUCCCUCCGAUGUCAACAACUACAGACCAGUAUCCCUUCUUUCUUU